GCCUGGGUGGCUUAGUCAGUUAAGCAUCUGACUUUGGUUCGGGUCAGAUCUCACGGUUUGUGAGUUCAAGUCCUGCAUCAGGCU
Molecule: transfer RNA, 84 nt
Filed under: Felis catus (domestic cat)
Lineage: Eukaryota; Metazoa; Chordata; Mammalia; Carnivora; Felidae
Also listed under: 1 other name
Rfam family: tRNA
About the family: Transfer RNA (tRNA) molecules are approximately 80 nucleotides in length. Their secondary structure includes four short double-helical elements and three loops (D, anti-codon, and T loops).
Source: Rfam by way of RNAcentral